Small nuclear RNA from Loxodonta africana (African savanna elephant), 107 nucleotides. Lineage: Eukaryota; Metazoa; Chordata; Mammalia; Proboscidea; Elephantidae. The record is from Ensembl.
GCACUCACUUCCACAUCACAUGUACUGAAAUUGGGAAGAUACAGACAAGAUUAGCAGGGCCCCUGUACAACGAUGACAUAAAAACUUGUGUUCUAUAUUAAAAAUAG